RNAcentral lists this ribosomal RNA (253 nucleotides) under uncultured bacterium. Its description in RNAcentral is "partial 16S ribosomal RNA". It matches the Rfam family "Bacterial small subunit ribosomal RNA", at positions 524 to 776 of the family's 1533-position model. The record is from RNAcentral.
UACGGGGGGGGCAAGCGUUGUUCGGAAUUACUGGGCGUAAAGGGUUCGUAGGUGGCUCGCUAAGCCAGACGUGAAAUCCCUCAGCUUAACUGGGGAACUGCGUCUGGGACUGGAGAGCUGGAGUGCAGGAGAGGAAUGCGGAAUUCCAGGUGUAGCGGUGAAAUGCGUAGAUAUCUGGAGGAACACCGGUGGCGAAGGCGGCAUUCUGGACUGCAACUGACACUGAGGAACGAAAGCCAGGGGAGCAAACGGG